AGCCCUGACUAAGCCAGGGAGUGAGGCCAACAAGGCCAGUGCUGUUGAGGGCUGCCUGAAGCCACAGGUCUUUCAGGGUCCAGAUGGCUUUCCUGGCCUAACUUGUGCUCCCACACGUACGCGCACUCCCGCUAAAACUAGGAGCUCCCCAGCCAUGUCCUUUCCCAGAGAGACACUUAACUGGUGCCAUUUUUAUGGGGGAUAAUAAGACCGGUAUCACUGCUGGUGUGCUGGUUCCAAGGUCCUUUCAUCUCCCACGUCUCAUCUGAUGUAGAGGACAGUCAGGAGUCGUCUAGAUGCCUAUCACCUCGGUGUUCCAGAGAACCACGAGAGCCAGAAUCCAUGUUUCACUGAGCAGUCCUUUCAUGAUUCAAGUCGCCACAAGUUGAGGAUCACGAGGAAGAGGAAUCAAUACUAAUCAAGCCUCAUGUCAAAGAAAAAUGUCAUUCUGCUGCUAAAGGAGGAGGGAGAAUGCUGUACUGGCAGAACGUGAGGUGAUAUGUGCCUACAGAUAGCUGAACUCCAUAUCUCCUAGGCCCAGGGUGUUGGGCAACUGCAGGCCAACCCAUUUGACUCUUCCUCAUUUGACUAGGCCUACGGCCGA
Long non-coding RNA from Rattus rattus (black rat), 604 nucleotides. RefSeq lists it as uncharacterized. The transcript has 3 exons. NCBI's taxonomy places the organism in Eukaryota, Metazoa, Chordata, Mammalia, Rodentia, Muridae. The record is from RefSeq and is a predicted model, not a curated record.